CCAGCAUUUUCUGCGUAUCCAAGCAUUGGGGGGACAAAGUAAUACUUGGCAUUAAUGGAGCUCACCCAUAAGGAAUGCCUAUUCCAAACUUCUUCGCUUAUGAAAAGGAGGAUCCGGGGGGGGGGGGCAUAUCAUUCCCAACAUGCACUGCUUAUCUGAAAAGGCAAGGAACUGAGGAGCAGGAAGGCCAAGGAAACUGCGCAGGGUCACAGAGCUAGGAAACAGCAGAGCUGAGACUGGAGCCUCUGGCAGUGUGAGUGCACUGGGUGGCUCUCAACCCCGACACCACGGUUGCCUACCACGCGCACUGCUAUUAACAGGCACAGCCAGAACCUGAAUUUAGAACUUCAACUCCAAGGCCAAAGCUCUUUUCACUAUCCCAUGGAGCAAGUUGGAUUUUACAAGAUAUUUUCAAAUUCCCUUUCAACGACCAGUACUGCCUUACAAGCAAAGUGCUACAUAAUCUUAACUGAGAGAGAAUAUAUUUGAAAACAUUCUCCAAAGAAAGAGAGAAAACAACUUUUAAAUGAUCAAAACUCAGUUGUGGGCUGAGAGAACUUUGCAAAAAGAAAUUGUCACUCAAGGAAAAAAAAAAAAAAUCAUGCCUACCCUGGCCAAGUCAGCCAGAAAGAAUUUGAGAUUAAAACCGUUUCAAAAGACAAAAGUCUUACGAGUUCUGAGAGUUUAUGUCACAAGAAAACCACAAAUGCAAUUUUUGAUUAAGGAACAAGAGAUCUGAGAAUAUGACCUACUCAUAUCUGAGAUUCUGGUGUGUUGCAACAAAUGUUUAAGUGUUAAAUGCUUAUUAUUUGCCUAACGAAGGAGAAAAGGUGUAUCUGCAGCAUACAUUGUGAAAGGCAAAGACAGCUCAUCAAAUGGGAAUCCUGUCUCAGUUGCAGCAGAGUUUUGGGGGUGUGGGCAGGUCAUUCAACACACGAACCUCCAACUGUUGCACUCCAACACCCACUGAUCGGUGAUAAAUGCCUCUGAAAACCUAAAACCUUCCACUUGUACAGAGCAUCACUGACAGAGACAUCAUUCUAUGUGACUCUAAAUCUCACUGGAACACAAAAACUGGAAAUACAACUCCGUGAAUGCCGCUGAUGGUGUUAUUUGUCCUGUGCUGUCAUUAUCAAUGUUGUGAAAGAUGGAUCCCAACUAGCACAUUAUGGGAGUAAUCACCAGCCAGCACGGAAGAGCCACAUUAUUCCUUGACAACUUCUAUGCUGAAAACGCUCAGAUCUACAUCUCAGAUGUGCCUUUCCUACCCUUCUCUGGACCUGUGUCUCCAACAGGGUAUGUCACUGUCUCCCCCAUUAACCUGUUCCAAACCACUUUUCUCCUCUCCCAAAUCAUCUCUCCUUCCCAAACCUUUCGAUCAGAUAUCCCAGUUUCUUGUAGUUAUAUUGGAUCCUUUCCAAACAGCCAUGGAAAUAUGUUCUGUUUCUCACCCAAAUAUCUCCAUGUGACCCCUCCUGCCCUUUUAUACUCCUUCCUCCUAAAUCUUUGCUUUCCUCAUCCAUCCCUACACUGCCACUUUCUGGUAGGCCUUUCUCACUCCAGCUUCUCUGGAUUACUACACUUCCUGAUAAUUUAAACACUGUCUUUCCCUUGUCACUCACACACACACACACACACACACACACACACACACACACACACGCAUCCAUGACUCCUUUAAGUUAUUUAAGAAGCUUGAACUCCUUUCAGUCUACCUACAGAGAUAGACUUCUUUUCUAGUACUUAUCACCAGUAUGUGUAAAGUGUAUUCCAAUCACAUAAAAUCCCUCAUUUCCUUCAGGUUCACUGCGUCUAUUCCCAUUAACAAUGUUGUACCCUUGUUCCUUUUUAUCUGUGUCAAUCCCAAUCUUUGCCAUCCUUUGAGACCUGUUUUGAGUUUCCCUUCUUCCAGGAAGCGAUUCAAACUAUGCUAGUCUUCUUCACUCAUUCAUCCUACCAAUAAAUAUUCACUGAGGGCCCACUCCAGCCCAGGUACUAUGUGAGGCUCCGUGGAUUCAGAAGCAACUUCAAUGGGCAUAGUUCUGCCCUGGUGGACAUGACAGGCUCUCCCUUCUGAACUUGAGCAGACUCUACCAUUUUCAAGUAUAUUGACCAUCUCUCUAUAAUUAGAUGGAGCACUUUAAGGGUAGAGGCUACAGAUCUAUUUCUUCUGAAUGCCUAGCACUGUGGCAGGAGCAUGAUGGUUUCAUAAGGUAGUCUUAUUGACAGAACAAAGGACUUCAGUAGGUUUGUAGGGAACAUGAAGGAGCUUAACGGAGACAAAUCUAUCUUGGUCAAGUAGACAGGGACAACAGAGGGAAGACCAGGAGGCAGGAAGUCUCACAAGAUAGCAACUGAGAACUGAGAAGAGCAGUGACCCUGAAGUAGUGUGGGAGACAUUGAGGGCUCAGAGCAGGAAGUCCUCAGCAUGGAGGGAGUUCCAGCAGGACUAAAUCUACGAGUCAAGGCUAUUUCCCCAAAACCCUCUCUGCUCUAGAGGAAGGGGAGGGUAACUGUGAUGUAGUCAUACUUGAACAUGCACUAGAUGUCAUGCACUAUGGAAAGCAAUAGUGUUUUUUAAUCAAAAGACACUCCUCUCUGUUCACCUGGUGAAGACACCAGAGCUUGGUAUCAGGUCACACUCCAAAUGGAUGGUAUUAUGGCAUAAUGAUGCAUCUGCAGGCAAAUGGCUAAGAUGCACAAAAUAAAUAUAAGUACAGAGCACACAGAAGAGGCUGAAAGUGCAGAAGGGAUCAUAUAUAUUCAAGAGGGCCACAAGUGAGAAGAGGAAGUACCUCUUUUGCACCAAAUGGCUGCUUCUGUUUUCCAUUAUCCAAGGCAUAGAGAAGAUCAAAGGAGUCCUACCUGGGUUAGACCAGAGAUAGGCACAGGGAGUUGGCUAUUUGCAUAUGUGUAUGCAUAUGCAUAUGUGCCUUGUUUGUAUGGGAAGAAAAAAAAAAUAUGUAUAUAUUCCAUUGCUUCAUUCUUUAUCCCGCCAUUAUACCAAUGUAUGCCUUAUGGCCUUCUUCACACCAGUUCCUUAAGUAUCCUAACCAAAAUAAUAGUAAAUUAAACCUAAUUUAUAGUAAGAACCAAACUUGAGGCUAUCAGUAUAUUCAAAGGGUAAUGCAGUAUUUGUCAAAGAUGGCCUUUAAAAUGGAAGAAAACAAUUUUUUUUAAAUGUUUAUUUAGUUUUGAGAGAGAGAGAGUGCAAGCAGGGGAGGGACAGAAAGAGAGAGAGAGACACAGAAUCUGAAGAAGGCUCCAGGCUCUGAGCUGGCAGCACAGAGCCUGAUGCGGGGCUCAAACCCACGAACUGUGAGGUCAUGACCUGAGCUGAAGUCAGACGCUUAACUGAGUCACCCUGACGCCCCAAAAACAAUUUGUGAUGCGGAUAAGUUUGGAUGGCUUAUCAGACAAAUUAAAGAUUGUUAACGCACA
Molecule: long non-coding RNA, 3441 nt
Organism: Panthera uncia (snow leopard)
Lineage: Eukaryota; Metazoa; Chordata; Mammalia; Carnivora; Felidae
Exons: 4
Source: RefSeq, a predicted model, not a curated record